This 426-nucleotide ribosomal RNA is filed under the name uncultured Luteibacter sp. RNAcentral describes it as "bacterial SSU rRNA". It matches the Rfam family "Bacterial small subunit ribosomal RNA", at positions 356 to 774 of the family's 1533-position model. The record is from RNAcentral. Lineage: Bacteria; Pseudomonadati; Pseudomonadota; Gammaproteobacteria; Lysobacterales; Rhodanobacteraceae.
GGGGAAUAUUGGACAAUGGGCGCAAGCCUGAUCCAGCAAUGCCGCGUGUGUGAAGAAGGCCCUCGGGUUGUAAAGCACUUUUAUCAGGAGCGAAAUCUGCAAGGCUAAUACCCUUGUAGUCUGACGGUACCUGAGGAAUAAGCACCGGCUAACUCCGUGCCAGCAGCCGCGGUAAUACGGAGGGUGCAAGCGUUAAUCGGAAUUACUGGGCGUAAAGCGUGUGUAGGCGGUUUGUUAAGUCUGUUGUGAAAGCCCCGGGCUCAACCUGGGAAUGGCAAUGGAUACUGGCAAGCUAGAGUGUGAUAGAGGAUGGUGGAAUUCCCGGUGUAGCGGUGAAAUGCGUAGAGAUCGGGAGGAACAUCAGUGGCGAAGGCGGCCAUCUGGAUCAACACUGACGCUGAGACACGAAAGCGUGGGGAGCAAACA